This 1108-nucleotide long non-coding RNA is filed under the name Mus spicilegus (steppe mouse). RNAcentral describes it as "lncRNA (ENSMSIG00000017373.1)". Lineage: Eukaryota; Metazoa; Chordata; Mammalia; Rodentia; Muridae. The record is from RNAcentral.
AUGGGGGCACUGGCCUAUCACCAUCUCUUGGAAAGCCCCUGGCCUAAAGAAAGAAGUGAUAUGUGCCCAGGCCUAUUCCUGAACCUUGAAGAUCCUGGGCCAAAAGCAAGGAGUGAUGUGGGCCUGGGCCUAUCCCUGAUCCUUGAAGAGGCCCAGGCAAAAGCAAAAAGUGAUGUAGGCCUUGCCUAUCGCUGACCCUUGAAGAGGCCUGGGCCAAAAGCAAGGAGGGAUGUGGACCUGGGACUACACCUUACCCUUGAAGAGGCCCAGGCCAAAAGAAAGAAGUGAAGAGGGCCUGGACCUAUCCCUGAACCUUGAAGAGGCCGUGGCCAAAAAGAUGAAUUAUUUUUGGCCUGUGUCUCUCCAGGACCCUUGAGGAGGCCUGGUCCAAAACAAGAAGUCAUGUUGACCUGGGCCUAUCCCUGACUUUGAGAUGCCCGGGCCAAAAGCAAGAAUUGAUGAGGGCCUGGGCCUCUCCUAGACCAUUGAAAAGGCCCAGGCCUAAUGUAAGAAAUGAUAUGGCUCUGGGUCUAUCCCAGAUCUUUAAAGAAUCCUGGCCUAAAGAAAGAAGUGAUGUGGGCUUGGGACUAUGCCUGACCCUUGAAGAGGCCCAGGACAAAAGCAAGAAGUGAUAUUGCCUGGCCCUAUCCCUGAACCUUGAAGAGGCCAAGGCCAAAAAGAAGAAAUGAUGCUGGCCUGUGCCUAUCCCUGACCGUUGAAGAGGCCAGGGCUAAAUGAAAAAUGUGAUGUGGGCCUGGAUCUAUCCCUGACAUUUGAAGAGUCCCAAGCCGAAAAACAAAAAGUAAUGUGGGCCUGGACCUAACCCUGUCCCGUGAAGUGGUCCAGACCAAAAGCCAAAAACAUGAGGUCCUGGGCUAAAAGCAACAAGUGAUGUGGUCCUGGGGCUAUCCCUGAAAUUUAAUGAGGCAUGGGCCCAAUACAAGAUGUGAGUUGAUCCUGGGCCUAUGCCUGACCCUUGAAGAGGUCCCCGCUAAAAGCAAGAAGUGAUUAGGGCAUGGGCCUAUCCAUGACCUUUGAAUAGGCCCCUGGCCAAAACCAAGAAUUGAUGAGGGCCUGGGCCUAUCCCUGACCUUUGAAGAGACCUGUG